GAGGCGAACCGGGGGAACUGAAACAUCUAAGUACCCCGAGGAAAAGAAAUCAACCGAGAUUCCCCCAGUAGCGGCGAGCGAACGGGGAGGAGCCCAGAGCCUGAAUCAGUGUGUGUGUUAGUGGAAGCGUCUGGAAAGGCGCGCGAUACAGGGUGACAGCCCCGUACACAAAAAUGCACAUACUGUGAGCUCGAUGAGUAGGGCGGGACACGUGGUAUCCUGUCUGAAUAUGGGGGGACCAUCCUCCAAGGCUAAAUACUCCUGACUGACCGAUAGUGAACCAGUACCGUGAGGGAAAGGCGAAAAGAACCCCGGCGAGGGGAGUGAAAAAGAACCUGAAACCGUGUAC
This 349-nucleotide ribosomal RNA is filed under the name Escherichia fergusonii. RNAcentral describes it as "bacterial LSU rRNA". It matches the Rfam family "Bacterial large subunit ribosomal RNA", at positions 176 to 563 of the family's 2925-position model. The record is from RNAcentral. Lineage: Bacteria; Pseudomonadati; Pseudomonadota; Gammaproteobacteria; Enterobacterales; Enterobacteriaceae.